This 460-nucleotide ribosomal RNA is filed under the name uncultured bacterium. RNAcentral's name for it is "bacterial SSU rRNA". It matches the Rfam family "Bacterial small subunit ribosomal RNA", at positions 29 to 534 of the family's 1533-position model. The record is from RNAcentral.
AGCGAACGCUGGCGGCAGGCCUAACACAUGCAAGUCGAACGAACUCUUCGGAGUUAGUGGCGGACGGGUGAGUAACACGUGGGAACGUGCCUUUAGGUUCGGAAUAACUCAGGGAAACUUGUGCUAAUACCGAAUGUGCCCUUCGGGGGAAAGAUUUAUCGCCUUUAGAGCGGCCCGCGUCUGAUUAGCUAGUUGGUGAGGUAAAGGCUCACCAAGGCUACGAUCAGUAGCUGGUCUGAGAGGAUGACCAGCCACAUUGGGACUGAGACACGGCCCAAACUCCUACGGGAGGCAGCAGUGGGGAAUCUUGCGCAAUGGGCGAAAGCCUGACGCAGCCAUGCCGCGUGGAUGAUGAAGGUCUUAGGAUUGUAAAAUCCUUUCACCGGUGAAGAUAAUGACUGUAGCCGGAGAAGAAGCCCCGGCUAACUUCGUGCCAGCAGACGCGGUAAUGUAGUCGUGU